Long non-coding RNA from Zea mays, 1620 nucleotides. RefSeq lists it as uncharacterized. The transcript has 2 exons. The record is from RefSeq and is a predicted model, not a curated record. Lineage: Eukaryota; Viridiplantae; Streptophyta; Magnoliopsida; Poales; Poaceae.
GUACUUGAUACAUAUUGGGAAUGAGGGGAGUAGCAGCACGUCCACUUUCACUCUCACAAUAACGCUGCCCAGGCGCAGCCAUGAUUUAAUUAGAAACUUAUUGUCAAAGGAAGUUUGUUUUUUUAACUAGUCGUGCGCACUAGUAAAUUCACUUCAUGUCGUAUGUUUAACUUCUCUUUGCUAGCCGAUUAAUAAUACUUAGUAUGCUUUUGUCAUGAUAUAUGUUUAUACACUGUUGCCCCCUCAUUUAUGCAAUUUUGCAAGGGGGAUGCUGCCGAAAUUUUAUAUAUAAAUGUUAGAAGUGUUGUUUAGUAGCAUUCCGGGGUGUUGGUGGACCCUGGGGUGUUACAGCAUGUGUGCAAGGUUCCAGGCAAAUCCAAAGGAAGUUCACCUUAGGGCCGUGAAAAGAAUCAUGAGAUAUUUAGUAUACACUCCUAAGUUUGGGCUUUGGUACCCCAAGGGAUCUACCUUUGAUUUAAUUGGGUAUUCAGAUACCGAUUAUGCCGGAUGUAAAAUUGAUUGAAAGAGCACAUUAUGGACUUGUCAAUUUCUAGGAAGAUCCCUGGUGUCUUGGGCUUCAAAGAAACAAAAUUCGGUAGCUCUUUCCACCGCCGAAGCCGAGUACAUUGCCGCAGGCCAUUGUUGUGAGCAAUUACUUUGGAUGAGGCAAACACUUAGGGACUAUGGCUACAAAUUGAGCAAAGUCCCUCUCCUAUGUGAUAAUGAGAGUGCAAUCCGCAUGGCGGAUAAUCCUGUUGAACACAGCCGCACUAAGCACAUAGACAUCCGAUAUCACUUUUUGAGAGAUCACCAACAAAAGGGGGUAUCGAAAUAGCUUAUGUGAGCACCCACAACUAAUUAGCCGAUAUCUUUACCAAGCCACUAGAUGAAAAGACUUUUAGCAAACUUAGGAAUGAGCUAAAUAUACUUGACUCUCGGAAUUUUGAUUGAAAUGUUGCACACAUAGCUAAUUCUUAUACGUUUGACCAUGUCUCUUUCAUUUGGUACAAAUGCAUAUUUCUUAUUCUUCUUGUGCCAAGGCUAAGACUAAUGUGCUUUCAAGUGUAUUUCUAUACUUAAUCUUAGAUUGAAAGGGAAAUGGAGUAUUCGACAAAGACAAGGCUUCCACUCUAACUCUGACGAUAUCAUUUAUCCUUUGCCAUUACUCAUGUAACUCUCAAAGUUUAUAAAUUUCAGGUUUCGCAUAUUCACCCCCCCUUUAGGCAACUUUCAGAGAGGCGGCGACUCAGUAAGGCACAGGCGCGCGGCCGUGCUCGGGCAGCUGGCGGCCGGCCAGGCAGAGGCGGUCGCGAACGGAACGAUGAGCAGAUGGCUCGCUUGUGCGCCUGCGAUACUACAGUUGUGCCUGUUGCGCGGCCACAGAGGGGAAGCACUAGCAGGGAGGCUGCGACUGGGCUGAGUUGAGGUAUGGCGUGGGCUAUACUUGGCCAUAACAGGCCCUCCGCCCCUACUGGCAAAAGCAAUACCAAUUUGAGAAGCAAAUAAACCAUAUCAAACACCUUAUGUCUCUUUGUUUCAACAAUCUUACAAGAUUAGUUAUGUCUUUGAAUCUAUUAUCUUCUCUUGUGCCAUCAAUAUAAUUGUCAAGUUGCAAGUCAA